This 253-nucleotide ribosomal RNA is filed under the name uncultured bacterium. RNAcentral describes it as "partial 16S ribosomal RNA". It matches the Rfam family "Bacterial small subunit ribosomal RNA", at positions 524 to 776 of the family's 1533-position model. The record is from RNAcentral.
UACGUAGGGUGCGAGCGUUAAUCGGAAUCACUGGGCGUAAAGGGAGCGUAGGCGGCGCGGUAAGUCGGAUGUGAAAUCCCGGGGCUCAACCCCGGAACUGCAUCUGAUACUGCCGUGCUAGAGUAAUGGAGGGGUAGCUGGAAUUCUUGGUGUAGCAGUGAAAUGCGUGGAUAUCAAGAGGAACACUCGUGGCGAAAGCGAGCUACUGGACAUUUACUGACGCUGAGUCUCGAAGGCUAGGGGAGCGAAAGGU